Molecule: non-coding RNA, 4788 nt
Organism: Xyrichtys novacula (pearly razorfish)
Lineage: Eukaryota; Metazoa; Chordata; Actinopteri; Labriformes; Labridae
Source: the annotation of a GenBank genome assembly
GUUGUCCAAAGUAUAUACAGUCUAUUGUAGAUAUAUAAGAAAUGCUAUUUCCAGUCCCAAGUCCUAAGAACAGAAUGGUAAAGGAUUCCCUUACCUUCCACCUGUGCCGGUCUGGGUACAACCAAAUGUCAUUUGUGGAGGAUGGUUGUUGUGACGUCCUGAGAGAUCUGACUUUUUAUUUAGAAAGAGGAACGAGGAAACAUGAGUGAGAGACACUGGGAAUCAGAGAGCACCUGGACCAGAGCAGAGCUUCUUUGAAACAAGUAAUGUAGUGAAGUUUUUUUUAGAAACAUGGGUGAACAUGGGAAACAUGGGUGAGUAUUUGACUGAUUUUAACUGUGUGAGUGAUUGAGGUCUCUGAAUUCAUUGGCCGUCUGUGUGUAUUGGAGCCAGGAGGAGAUUGGAGGAAAUCCUACAAGUUCAUAAGCAAACGAGGAGAGAGAAAGAUGGUCAACAGGCAGAGGAGGAUGAACCAGCUGCUUCAAGGCCAUGAAGUUUGGGAGCCUGGUGGUGUCCUUGUGGGACCACAGAAGAAGAAAAAUGUCUAUGCUGGGAUAUGUGGGACCUGCUGAUGACUAACAUGGGUGGUAUCCAGGGGUGAUACCUCUGACACACACAAAGCUGUGUGACCACGACUAUGUUUUAGCUCAGUUGGUCAGCUGGUCUGCUCUUUCUCAAUAGUUUCAGUUUUAUAAACUGUUCUUCCCAUCAGUCAAACACAUACAAAUGAACUAGACUGCCUCAAUAUUUUGUUUUUCCUUGCUUUAUUUGCACAAAUGACUCACUCCUCUUGUGUCAUAUAGUGUGCAUACCAUUUCAGUCUGUGUUCACAAAGCAUGUUUAAUUACACUGCAAGUAUUUGUUGUUUUUGCACAGUUUACCAGAUAAUCAGGAGCCCUUAAUUCACUUUCCUGCGAGUCCUAUAGAUACAUUCUUGGUAAAAUAGAGCUUCCUGAUUCGUCUCAUUUGACCAUUUAAAAGGUUUUAUUGGUUAUGGAAGAAGAGCACUAAAACUUAAUACAAAAUUUGAAUUUUUAAUUGAAAGGCUUUUGAGAAAAAUGCAGUUCUAAGUCAUUGAAAUGUUGGUGUGCUCAUUUGCAGCGCUCUGCUCUGCCUCAGUCUGAAUCUGCUCUCUUACAAGUUUCAAAAGCUCACCCUUGAGGCACCUUUUAAAAUUUGCAAGAGGACUAUUAUUUCAAAAUUACAGCCAUUAAAAGUGACACUCUGCUCAUUGACUGUGUCACAAAAUGUUAAAUGAUCACUGUACAAGAAAUGAAACAUAGCACAAUUAUAGUGAGCAAGAAACAUAAUUUCACACAAUUUUACAAUCUCUUUUCUCUUGGGUGGAUUUGAGCCAGAGUGAGCACUCAAAGACGGCACAGAAAACCUCGGCCUGAACAACAUAGACGGUAAAACAUACUAAGAUCGCCUCUAAAACUGAGUGUGAAGACUGACAAGAAUGAUAAAUAAAGCUCUGCAUUAGAGUUUUAAUAAUAAUAAAAAAUAAAUAAAAUAAUAAUAAUAAUAAUAAUAAUUCAUUUUAUUUGUUCAGUGCUUUUAAAAACAAGACGCUUUACAUAGUACAUAAAACAUAAAACCCAAGGUAAUAAAACAAAGACAUACAAACAGUAGAAAUAAAAUGAAUAAAACAGUUAAAUAUUAAAAGCAAUUUUUAAUAAGUGAAUUUUUAAAAGGGAUUUGAAAGUAGUGAGGUCAGGGCAGUGUCUGAUGGAGGGUGGUACGGAGUUCCAGAGGGUAGGGGGCAGCUUCGGAGAAUGCCCGCUCCCCCCAGGUUCGGUGCUUGGGCCGUGACUUUGGGGUGAGGAGAUGGGCAGAGGAGGAUCGGAGGUUACUGGGGGGUGCAUGAGGCUGGAGCAGGUCGUUGAGAUAAGGGGGGGCUUGAUGAUGAAAGGCUUUGUGGGUGGGAAGGAGGAUCUUGAAUGUGAUGCCCUGCUUGAUGGGGAGCCAGUGUAGACGGAGGAGAACGGGGGUGAUGUGGUCUCGUGAACGGGUGUGGGUAAGGAGGCAGGCGGCAGAAUUCUGGACUAUCUGUAGUUUGUUGAGGAGUUUGGAGGGUAGAGGAGGCUGUCGCAGUAAUCUAACCUUGAGUUGAUGAAGGCAUGGACCAGGGUUCCUGCUGCAGGGAGGGAGAGAGAUGGGCGAAGACAGGCAAUGUUUUUGAGGUGAAAAAAGGCUGAUUUAGUGACCUGUUUGAUGUGUUGUUCAAAGGUGAGGUGGGUAUCAAAGAUGAGUCCAAGGUUGCGGGUGGAGGAGGAAGGAGACAGGGAUGAGUUAUCAGCUGUGAUGAAGAAGGGGGGGAUGGAUUUGGGGCAGAUGAUAUUCAUGUCAGAUUUGUCACAGUUUAGUUGAAGGUAGUUGUUGGUCAUCCAGGUCUUUAUUUUGGAGAGGCAGUUGGAGAGGGUGGAUGGGGUGAUGGAUUCAGUGGAAAUGUAAAGUUGGACAUUGUCAGCGUUACAGUGAAAUCGGAGACCGUGACAACAUAUUUCCAAGAGGAAGGAUGUAAAUAAUGAACAAGAGGGGGCCAAGCACCGAACCUUGGGGGACACCUUGGGUCAGGGGAGCAGUGGUGGAGGAGUUGCUGUUUAUGUUGAUGAAUUGUUGGCGGUUUGUGAGGUACAACUUAAACCAGGAGAGGGCAGUGCCAGUGAUGUAGAUUAAGUCAUGAAGACGGGAAAGGAGGAUGGAGUGGUGGAUGGUGUCAAAGGCGGCGGUGAGGUCCAGGAGAAUCAGGAUGCUAAUAAUCAAAUCCUUAUCAGUGUACAUUAAAUGUAUGUUUUGCAAUCUUCUCUGUUUCUGCCACUCUUGUUGAUCAGCUGGUGUCUGUGUGAGUUGAACAUCCAUUAAAUAUGAAGACAUAAUUACCUAUCAUUUAAAAUAUAACGACACUUCAUAGCAACUCUGAUCAGCUGUAUGAAGGUGUACAAAGUGAACAAGCAACUCUUCAAGCGAGUUUGUCUCUCUUGUUAUUAUUGUUGUGCUUAGACAGCAGCCAGUCAGAUUGGUAAUAUCUUGUACACAGUAAGUUUUGGUAAUACGCAAUAAUACACAAAAAACAAGGAUCAUGCUGUAAAAUCGGAUAAUAUUUUGAUAUAAAAUGAUUAAAAGAUUAGUUUUUUGCUUUGGAAAAAGUGCAUCCAGCCUGCUGCACUCACAGAGAGAGGAGGGAGAGGAGGCAGGGAGAAUAAUGUAUUAGUACUGAUCAGUGUUUUCACACAUGUAGGACCAUAGGGCUGUAAAUUCUUGAGUCUGUUUUCUCUCGAUAAAAAAUACCGUCUUAAUCCUCUUAAGUGAUACAGAAAAGACUUUCCUUUUUAACACCUUUCCAACAACAGCCUGAUAUCUUAAAGCUAACAACGUCACAGACCUCUCUCUCUCUGUGUCUGCUGUAUCCUGAUCACUUUUGGGGGAGAGUGUUAUGUUGAUUGAUGCUUUCCUCGCCAUGGAUUCACUUGCUCACAUGGCGCUCCAGUCCAUCAUUAAUUCUCCACUUCCUGCUGGUACAAGGUUUCCUCCUCUAAACAUCUGUCUAUCAUUCUUUAAAAGUGAGUGGAGAAGAGUUGCCCUGCUGCAACUGAUGAGCAAACUUGACAGCCUGACAGCAUCGAGGUCUUGCUGUUUUCUGGAUGGGUUGCUAAAAUGUGAUGAGAGGCGUUUGGGUGAAAGUAAACAACCGGGUUCCUCUCUGCGCUGUCUUUAACAUAUACAAGCAAAAACCUGAAGACGAUCACAGUUUACAUAUUUCAAAGGAGAAACACCUGUCUUGUAUUCGCUUUAGCUGUAUUUGUGAACUUUGCAGCAGGGCUCCAGGGCCGCUCUGGAGGAAACGAGGAAUGUGUUCUUGUGUGUGUGUGUGUGUGUGUGUGUGUGUGUGUGUGUGUGUGUGUGCACUCAGUGUUUAAAAUGUAGAUUAAUUAAAACAAAAUCAUUUUUGGGAAUCUCCUGAUUUUAUCAUCCCUUUAUUCAGCAUCCCCUUCAGUUCUUCUUCCCGCAGCUGUGAAGUAUUGCAACAUCUUUAUUUCUUUCAUGUCCUAUAGAUGUAAAACAAAAACAGUUGGUUCUCUCCUUCUGCCCAUAAGCAAUGUUUAUUUAUAGGUUAUACAUGAACUGAAUGUAUUUCCUGUAAGUAAUUAUUUCAGGCCCACUGGUCUAUUGUAAAAAACAAAAUGAUUUCUAAAUUGUAUUCUGUUGACAAGGGAGCAUUUAUCAUGUUAAAGAGAUUCCUCCCCUCCAUACUUCUCCACUAUAAUGGAUGUUUUGAGUCAAGGCGUCCCUUUACAAUGAUGUCUCUUUCCCCUUCUAUCUCCUCUACCAGAAAUAUUUGACAUUUGUCUUAAAACAAGGUUGCCCACAAGCAUAGCAGCUUCAUGAAAACUCCUGUUGACGUCAUCCCUGAGCCUCUGUAAGGAUUUGUCCAGCAAGGUUUGCUUUCGUCGUGUCUUUUUCUUUUCGGAACUCUAUGUUUCAUCAAGGACAGAGUCCUCACUUCUGCCUCUCUGUGAAGGUUAUCCACUUUUUUAUGUGGCCGUAACUCACAGGGUCGGUGAAUCAGCAAAAAUGGUGACAUAAAACGAUAGUAACUCACAACGCCUUUCAGCUACGGACCAAAUACUGCCCUCAGUGCCAUAAUACUAAAGGUUAACUUUGAUCGUCAUUGUCGAGCCUUACAGCUGCACGGCUAGCGUCUUUAAUCCCACCACACCCCCUGCUUUAUGAAGAUGUCAACAGUCAUCCAUGUAAUCAUCCACCUCCGAGUGUCCACACCUCCUC